AGCUUUUAAUCAAGGAGAGAAUUUGAGCGACACUAAACAAAAGAUAGGCUGAGCAAAAGGAGGAAAGAUUUAAGGAGGUAUGUGUAUUAUGUGUUUUCAUCAAUACUUUCUUAGAAUGUGCCUUCAUUGUUGGUUUCUGUUUAGCUCUAGAAAAACUGU
Molecule: non-coding RNA, 159 nt
Organism: Malus domestica (apple)
Lineage: Eukaryota; Viridiplantae; Streptophyta; Magnoliopsida; Rosales; Rosaceae
Source: RefSeq, a predicted model, not a curated record